AAGCAACUCAGCCUGCUGAGUUCCAGCGUUGCAUGGUACCCUUGUUUCGCCAGAUUGGACGUUGCUUAAGCAGUUCACAUUUUCAGGUAGCUGAAAGGACUCUGUUUUUGUGGAACAAUAAUCACAUCGAGAAUCUAAUCAAACAGAACCGCAAAGUCAUUUUGCCGAUUAUAUUUCCUGCGCUGGAGAGAAAUUCAAGAAACCACUGGAACCAGGCUGUACAAAACUUGACACAAAAUGUCCGAAAGAUAUUCUCCGAUGUUGACCCUGAGCUGUUUGAGGAGUGUUUGAUCAAAUUUCAAGAAGAGGAGACACAAGAGAAGGAUAUGAAAUCUAAGCGUGAGGCAAAAUGGAAACGCUUAGAAGAGAUAGCUGCCAUGAAAUCUGCA
RNAcentral lists this unclassified non-coding RNA (389 nucleotides) under Hevea brasiliensis (rubber tree). The record is from RNAcentral. Lineage: Eukaryota; Viridiplantae; Streptophyta; Magnoliopsida; Malpighiales; Euphorbiaceae.